Molecule: long non-coding RNA, 2551 nt
Filed under: Equus caballus (horse)
Lineage: Eukaryota; Metazoa; Chordata; Mammalia; Perissodactyla; Equidae
Description: lncRNA (ENSECAG00000054379.1)
Source: RNAcentral
CAGGCGGUCAGGAAGGAACAGUGGCAGAAGAGCAGAGGGGGAGCCAAGACAAACUGACACCAACCAGUGAGGAAAGCUGGAACCCGUGUCCCUCUCUCACCACCUUCAAAACCUCCAACUUCCAUGCGGCAGGUGACCCGCCAGAGAGGCUGGUUUUCUGUGGAGGAGCUAAACACGCACUGGCCCAGGAGUUGGAGAUGCUGGAGGAGGACACGUGAUGAGGGGAGGAGCUGCAGGCUCGGCUGAUAGGCCCCAGAGACUGUACUCGGUGCGCGAGGGUUUGGAGGAGUCCGCCCGCUGCUGGGGCACGGAGGGCAGGGCCUCCGCCCCACGCCAUCGAGGAGAGCGUUAGGUCAGGGACGGCGUGCGUGAGAGGCGUGUGCGCUGGUGCCCUAUUCUGACUGCUAGAGCUAAAAAGACUGUGGCUGACGCUUCUCUCCUGACUUACAGAUCUCACACAUGUUGUCUGUUUGUGACCAGCGCUAUGCAGGCUCUCAAAAUCUUUCAUUCAUCUUAACUGAACUGUGACUCCAAACGUCCACUUCUGUGCACCUGCGUCAACGGUUUUCUGCUGUCUUAUGUCUCAAAGUCCAACUUGAUUAUCCUCACACUUGGCAGUAGAUCAUCAGGGAUAAGAGGGAGAGAUUUAGGGGCUAGAAAGGAAAGAAGAGGAACUGGGGUAAUUUCCUCCUUUAUUUCCAGGCUGAUCCUAAAUCCAAUUUGACUGCUUUUCUACCAUUCCUCCACCUAGGAAAAGGGAGAAUUCAAGAAGGAUCAAAGGAGAGAAGAAGGGAAGAAUGUUCAAGUUGAAUGCCCCGAAGUAGAUAUCACUCGCUCAGCAUCCCAAGGGAUUUUGAGAGAUUUUUGUGUCCAUCAGUUACUUUCAGGUGGCUGGCAAAGCCAACCAGUGGAAUGAAUUUAAAAUGCUCACAAGUGUGGAAGUCAAGCUGUUGCACAAUGUAAGGGUGGGUAUGGAUACACACAGCAUAGUGCCAUGGGGUAUAAAUAUAAAACAGAAUUUAUUGUGAGGAAAAACUUAGAAGCAGAAAAACACCACACAAGUUCCCCUGAGGUCUCAUUAUUUCACACAAAGAUGUACUUAGGCUGGGAAUGGCUGAACUAGAUGCAACACAGAAAGGGCUCCAACGGAUGGAUCCCAUCCCAUCAUGUUCCUCAUAUUUAAAGGGAAAUAGGGCAGUAGAACAUAUCUAUUCAAGCAUUUAGCAACGGAAACUUCUUGGCUAAGGGAGUGUCCUCAUUAGUUAGGAGAAACCUCUGGAACUCUGGCUGGUACUAGUUUAAUCUUCUAUUGAUCAAGUUCAGCCAUGCUGAGCCCACUCUUUGCUUGCCCACUGAUAUGGGAAAGAAUUGAGUUUCCAAUACCAUCUGGAUUUGUCUUUCCUCACUGGCAGAACGCUUUGGCACAUUCUAGUGCAGUGACAAAACCUUUAAUUUAGAGCACAUCUCAGUCAACAAGGCAGCUGUGAAAACAGCUCCCUGCUCAAAAGGAUGCUGUCCAUAUUCUAUCCACAAGCAGCCUCAGCCAGCAAUGGAAAGCUACCCUGUACAGGUUGGAAGACAGCUCUUGGAAACCCAUUCUAUCUGUCACAGUGAUGCAUCACCUUAUCUCAAGGAUGGAGCUCUGCCAGGACAACCAGUUGCUGAGAGGCAAAGCUCAUCAUUUUGAAAGGCUAGGUGAAGGCAAAUUUAAUUUCCUCCAGGAGAAAAAUGUCAUCACCACCCUUGGUAAGCACAGAGACUUCAGAGUGAAAUUUGGCUACACCUUCACAUAAAGUUGCUCUGGAAGAGAAAGAUGUGAUUUAUGACCAAAGAGCCAACAUUUCCCCCUAGAGGGUUUGUUUCAUUUAUGAAGAAAAAGGGAAAGAUAUUUAAACAAGAGAUUUGGCAGUUUUGUUGAUUAUCAGAAAACCUCCCCUGUCAUUUUGGCUAUAAUAAAAAAAAAAGUAAACUGAAUGAAAAAAACAACUUGUGAUUUCUAUGCCAGCGACUGAGAGGCAGGGGAUUAAUAUCUCCCCAAACAAGAUCCACUCAUGAUGUUUCUGUCCCCAAACAAGAGAACAGUACUUGGCUUCUAGAUACCAGAUUUGAUUUCACUUUUCCUAAUGAGCGUUUAGUUUCUGGUCAACACACACACACAAACACACACACACACACAAUCUUGCAUAAGAUUAGAAUGAUUAAAUAUGUGCCCUUAAGUCAAGGAGCACUUCUUUUUAAUUUUAUUUGGGAACAUCAAAAAUUGUCAUUUUAUGAAGCAGAUUUUUUUGUAUACCAGAUGUUUUCGAACUAAACAAGUUCAAUAAAGCAAAUGGAAAAUAAAUAGGAAUGUCUCUUUUUUUUUCUUUAGUUAUGAUUUGAUUAGGCAGUGACAAUGUUUUAUAAGACACUUUGGCUAAGUAUGUUCUUAAUUUGAUAAAUCAUCAUGUAAGUUUGGCUUCAAUUAAGAGAAUGUUUUUCUUCAUAUCAGUUCCUACAGAUUUGCAGUCAGCACGCAUACAUAAAACAUGGAAAUGUAAACAUCGAAAUGCCC